RNAcentral lists this ribosomal RNA (468 nucleotides) under uncultured bacterium. RNAcentral describes it as "partial 16S ribosomal RNA". It matches the Rfam family "Bacterial small subunit ribosomal RNA", at positions 28 to 507 of the family's 1533-position model. The record is from RNAcentral.
GACGAACGCUGGCGGCGUGCUUAACACAUGCAAGUCGAACGGAAAGGCCCUGCUUUUGUGUGGUGCUCGCGUGGCGAACGGGUGAAUAACACGUGAGUAACCUUCCCUGGGCUUUGGGAUAACUUCAGGAAACUGGGGCUACUACCUGAUAGGAGCGCCUGCUGCAUGGGGGGGUUUGGAACUCUUCGGAUGAUGGGGAUGGACUCGGGGCUUAUCAGCUUGUUGGUGGGGUAGUGGCUUAGGAAGGCAUUGAAUGGUGGGCGGCCUUAGAGGGUGGCCGGGCACCUGGGUACUGAGAGACGCACCAGACUGCUACUGGAGGCAGCAGUGGGGAAUAUUGCCCAGUGGGCCGGAGCGUGAUGCAGCAACGUCGCGUGCGUGAUGACGGUUUUCUGGUUGUAAACCGCUUUCGCCUGUUACGAAGCGUGAGUGACGUUAAUGAGUAAAGAAGCACCGGCUAACUACGUG